GUAACUUGCUAACUUGCUAGCUACUUCCAGACAUCUAAGUGAGAGAGAACAGCUCACUGAACAUUUUGAACUGUCAUCCAACUCGGAAUUGCGAGUCAGGAACUCAGGCCUCUUUCUAGAGCUCCGAUCUGAAGAUCACUGACGUCAUCAUGAUUCUACCUUGUUUUUUCUGAGUUCCCAGUUGUCUUAAAAACAACAAAUACAGGAGAAUGCCACUUUGAUGACACAUUUUCAUGACAGAAUUUACCCAUGAAGGACUGCCGCACCACCUUCCUGUUCAAGUGAGCACAGCACAACAAGGUAGAAAUACAGAGAAAAAAUGGGAAAUGCUUUAAGGACGACUGAGGAAUCCAACUGGGCUGUCAUGAGACUAGAGGCAGCUUCCUAAAGGAGGAAUCUAACUGGGGAGUCAUGUGACUAGAGGCAGCUUCCUAAAGGAGGAUUCUAACUGGGCUGUCAUGUGACUAGAGGCAGCAUCCUAAAGGAGGAGUCCAACUGGGGAGUCAUGUGACUAGAGGCAGCUUCCUAAAGGAGGAAUCCAACUGGGCAGUCAUGUGAGACUAGAGGCAGCUUCCUAAAUUGCACUCUAUUCCCUAUAUAGUGCACUUCCUUUGACCAGGGUCAAUAGGGUAAAAAGUAAUGCACUAUGUAUGGAAUAGGAUGCCAUGGGACAUAGCCUGCAUGCAGGUCAGAGA
Molecule: long non-coding RNA, 695 nt
Filed under: Salmo salar (Atlantic salmon)
Lineage: Eukaryota; Metazoa; Chordata; Actinopteri; Salmoniformes; Salmonidae
Description: lncRNA (ENSSSAG00000088661.1)
Source: RNAcentral